RNAcentral lists this ribosomal RNA (253 nucleotides) under uncultured bacterium. RNAcentral's name for it is "partial 16S ribosomal RNA". It matches the Rfam family "Bacterial small subunit ribosomal RNA", at positions 524 to 776 of the family's 1533-position model. The record is from RNAcentral.
UCCGUAGGGGGCAAGCGUUGCCCGGAUUUAUUGGGCGUAAAGAGCGUGUAGGCGGUUUGGUAGGUCCGCUGUGAAAACUCGAGGCUCAACCUCGAGACGCCGGUGGAAACCAUCAGGCUAGAGUCCGGAAGAGGAGAGUGGAAUUCCUGGUGUAGCGGUGAAAUGCGCAGAUAUCAGGAAGAACACCCGUGGCUAAGGCGGCUCUCUAGUACGGUACUGACGCUGAGACGCGAAAGCGUGGGGAGCGAACAGG